RNAcentral lists this ribosomal RNA (806 nucleotides) under uncultured bacterium. RNAcentral describes it as "bacterial SSU rRNA". It matches the Rfam family "Bacterial small subunit ribosomal RNA", at positions 60 to 834 of the family's 1533-position model. The record is from RNAcentral.
AGUCGAGCGAGCUUGCUAUUGAAAUUCUUCGGAAUGGACAUAGAUACAAGCUAGCGGCGGAUGGGUGAGUAACGCGUGGGUAACCUGCCCUUAAGUCUGGGAUACCAUUUGGAAACAGAUGCUAAUACCGGAUAAAAGCUACUUUCGCAUAAAAGAAGUUUAAAAGGCGGCGUAAGCUGUCGCUAAAGGAUGGACCUGCGAUGCAUUAGCUAGUUGGUAAGGUAACGGCUUACCAAGGCGAUGAUGCAUAGCCGAGUUGAGAGACUGAUCGGCCACAUUGGGACUGAGACACGGCCCAAACUCCUACGGGAGGCAGCAGUAGGGAAUCUUCCACAAUGGACGCAAGUCUGAUGGAGCAACGCCGCGUGAGUGAAGAAGGUUUUCGGAUCGUAAAGCUCUGUUGUUGGUGAAGAAGGAUAGAGGUAGUAACUGGCCUUUAUUUGACGGUAAUCAACCAGAAAGUCACGGCUAACUACGUGCCAGCAGCCGCGGUAAUACGUAGGUGGCAAGCGUUGUCCGGAUUUAUUGGGCGUAAAGCGAGCGCAGGCGGAUUGAUAAGUCUGAUGUGAAAGCCUUCGGCUCAACCGAAGAACUGCAUCAGAAACUGUCAAUCUUGAGUGCAGAAGAGGAGAGUGGAACUCCAUGUGUAGCGGUGGAAUGCGUAGAUAUAUGGAAGAACACCAGUGGCGAAGGCGGCUCUCUGGUCUGUAACUGACGCUGAGGCUCGAAAGCAUGGGUAGCGAACAGGAUUAGAUACCCUGGUAGUCCAUGCCGUAAACGAUGAGUGCUUAGUGUUGGGAGGUUUC